CAGAUACUUUCUCCGUAUCAAAAUUCUUGUUUUUUAUUUGUCUAGAUAUGAAUGUAUCUAAUCAUGUAUUAAUAUUUAGAUACAUUCAUUUUUAAACAAACCAAACAUAAGAAUUUUGGAACGGAGGGAGUACUAA
Non-coding RNA from Hordeum vulgare subsp. vulgare (domesticated barley), 136 nucleotides. NCBI's taxonomy places the organism in Eukaryota, Viridiplantae, Streptophyta, Magnoliopsida, Poales, Poaceae. The record is from Rfam.